Molecule: non-coding RNA, 88 nt
Organism: Beta vulgaris subsp. vulgaris (sugar beet)
Lineage: Eukaryota; Viridiplantae; Streptophyta; Magnoliopsida; Caryophyllales; Amaranthaceae
Source: Rfam
GAGCCGUGAUGUUAGUCACGCCAAAGUGGAUGAAGGGUUCUUCCACAGUAGUCUGAACCAUCGGAUGAGAAAAGGCACUCCUGAGCUU